Long non-coding RNA from Gymnogyps californianus (California condor), 640 nucleotides. RefSeq lists it as uncharacterized. The transcript is spliced from 3 exons. Lineage: Eukaryota; Metazoa; Chordata; Aves; Accipitriformes; Cathartidae. The record is from RefSeq and is a predicted model, not a curated record.
UACCUGGGGCUGGGUAGGGCUGCUGGGACCCUUGCUGUGAGCACCAGGACCUGCCUGGUCCACUCCCAGGUGGAGGCUGAUGAGGCUGCCAGGGAUAGAAAAUGGAUGGCACCCGGGCGAGGGACCAAGAGGAGGGUCCCCGUCCAGGGCUCACCUUCCUCCAUUGGUCUUGCAGGAUUUGGAGCACCCUGGCAAUGGUCCCCUCUAAAUCUGGUGGGCCCAGGCUUGGUGUUCCAGCUCCUGAAAGCACGUGAUUGCAAGGAGAUGACGUUGCUUCUGCAGAGAAAAGCGGUUUUUGACUAAGUGCCAACAUAACAAAAACCACCAACAAAGACCCUCCUCCUGUUUUCUUUGGAAAAAACCCCUCAUGACUCGGGCAAACAAAGUCACGCUGGUUUGAAUGCCCGGCUGGCAUCAGCAAGGGCUUGAUGUGAGCAGCGAGGGAAGUGAAAAAGCUUUGCAUUUGUGUAAGACUGCAAAAUCGGGUUGCCAAACAGGAUAUAGGCUGGGAAACCAGCUGGGCGAGGAGGCUGUGGCGAGCUGGCCGUCUUGCUCGGGUGCAUCGCUUCCUGGUGCUUAUAAUCCUAUUUACGAUAAAUGGUAGUUAAUCUUUUUGGUGGUUCUCUGCUUAUUUAGAGAC